AUGGCUCCCAGCGUCCUACCCGGGAGCCGCUCCGCCGGCGCAGACGCCCCCACCGGUGCGCGCCGGGUUGGCUGCAUUCAGGGGCUCCCAGUAUCAGAUCCCUGCGAGCAUCAUCAGCUUGGCUCCUGCAGGAGGAGACGGAGCCUACGUUCUUGGGCCCCAGACUCUGAUGAAGAACAACCAUCUUUCCUCCGCUGGGAAAAUGCACGUGAACGUUUAGGUUUCCCAGUGUCACUGAGAUUAAGCUCCAGUCUCCUGAGAUGGAUCUGCUUCUGAGAUAACAUAAACCAGGCAGUCACUGAAUGCAUGAACAAUAAGCCUGUAAGUUAUGGGGUUCUUGUAAGAAGACUGAACCAGUAGUUUCAGGAGAGGAUAACACAGAGGAAUCUCUGAACAGCAGGACACCAGGCACAGCUGAGGACAGAACUCCCACCCAGGUCUACACUCUCUGGGCAGCAAAUUUGAAGAAACGUCUCCAGUGACUCCAGGUGGCCUAAGAGAAAAGACCUAAGCACACUGACACUGGGGCUUCCCCAGGAACGCGCAGCUCACCACCCAAUUCAUGUGGGCAGCUCUGGUCCCAGGGCACCAAGAGUGUCAUGAUCUGCAGUUCAAUCUCCCCAGGGCCAGAUGGAAAAGUAGUUACUUGCCAAAGAGGGCAUAAUUUCAAAAAU
Molecule: long non-coding RNA, 674 nt
Filed under: Pongo abelii (Sumatran orangutan)
Lineage: Eukaryota; Metazoa; Chordata; Mammalia; Primates; Hominidae
Description: lincRNA
Source: RNAcentral